RNAcentral lists this transfer RNA (87 nucleotides) under Ornithinimicrobium pekingense. Its description in RNAcentral is "tRNA-His". Lineage: Bacteria; Bacillati; Actinomycetota; Actinomycetes; Micrococcales; Ornithinimicrobiaceae. The record is from RNAcentral.
UGGGGUGGUAGGCCUCGGGAGGCCGGGCGCGGUGGUCGCCCCAGAAGCCGAAGGUGAGGAUCCACGGAUCGUCGCUGCCCACGCCGU